This 400-nucleotide unclassified non-coding RNA is filed under the name fungal sp. Its description in RNAcentral is "partial internal transcribed spacer region". The stretch from base 1 to 46 matches the Rfam family "Eukaryotic small subunit ribosomal RNA", at positions 1786 to 1831 of the family's 1831-position model. Lineage: Eukaryota; Fungi. The record is from RNAcentral.
AAGUCGUAACAAGGUAACCGUAGGUGAACCUGCGGUUGGAUCAUUAAACAAACCAAGGUGGAGAGCGGAUGGCUGGGCGGCAUCAAGUCGUCCUCCCCAUUUUGCUCUCGAUCGCCACACAUCUUGUGAACCCUCAAACCCGUCCGGCGGGGGAGGAAUGGGAGGCUCUUACAAGUCUCCCAUUCCUCCGUCAGUGCAGGCAUGUUCGUCAUGUUCUGCACCGUGGACAACCCGCCCACCCCAACCCUUCCAGCCUUCGGGUCGAAGGGGUUGGUUUUGCCCAACUUUUUGGAUCUUUACGAAUUGUGAAUUGUCUCUGAGAAUGCGAUGGUUGCAAUUGCACCGUCUUUUGGAAACAAACAUUCAAAAACAACUUUUGGCAACGGAUCUCUUGGCUCUC